This 253-nucleotide ribosomal RNA is filed under the name uncultured bacterium. RNAcentral's name for it is "partial 16S ribosomal RNA". It matches the Rfam family "Bacterial small subunit ribosomal RNA", at positions 524 to 776 of the family's 1533-position model. The record is from RNAcentral.
UACGAAGGGGGCUAGCGUUGCUCGGAAUCACUGGGCGUAAAGCGCACGUAGGCGGAUCUUUAAGUCAGGGGUGAAAUCCCAAGGCUCAACCUUGAAACUGCCUUUGAUACUGGGGAUCUCGAGUCCGGAAGAGGUGAGUGGAACUGCGAGUGUAGAGGUGAAAUUCGUAGAUAUUCGCAAGAACACCAGUGGCGAAGGCGGCUCACUGGCCCGGUACUGACGCUGAGGUGCGAAAGCGUGGGGAGCAAACAGG